This is a long non-coding RNA of Folsomia candida, 2065 nucleotides long. RefSeq lists it as uncharacterized. The transcript is spliced from 2 exons. The record is from RefSeq and is a predicted model, not a curated record. NCBI's taxonomy places the organism in Eukaryota, Metazoa, Arthropoda, Collembola, Entomobryomorpha, Isotomidae.
AUUCACGUUAUAAACAAUUUUUUUCCUCGUCGUGGGAAUUGAUAAGAUAACAGGUCAAUCAACACCCUGUUUUUUAUUGGUUUGUUAUAUACUCUUUCCCUCCUGGAUGAAUUCGGAAGAAUUGUUACAUAUAGGUACGAGCAAUGAACUAAUAAUUAAGUUUAUUUAUUGGAAACUCCCGGUGAAUAUGAAUUAUUUUGAAAAUUUCUUCUCAUUCCAAUUACUAAAUUCAACAUAUGAUCUUUUUGAAAACAAUGAUGCGCUCUAUCAAUAUGUACAUACAUACAUAUUUAAAUAUAUACAUUUCAUGAGUAUGCAAAACACUCAACAGUCUGAAAAUGAACUGCAUGACUUCUUUACACAAUACUUUUCAGAAUAAUAGGCAUACAAUACGAAUUAAUCCGAAAUAAACACUUGGAUUUCAUUGUGUAUAUAGUUUAGUUUCAGGAAAUUAAUAGGGAUAUUUAUAUUAUUAUACCACAUACAAGUGAAACUUUUGGAACCUAUUAACAAUGAGUGCAUUCAAUUCUUAAAUUUAGCAUUAGUGGCGUGUUAUUGCACGUUGAUAAAUAAUUCAUUCUAAAUGAACAAACAAUCCAAUUUAAACAGAAUAAUUAUUCAGUAUGUGACAACUCAAUGUGAGAAUUCGUAUAGCAAACACUGACCUUCUUGCUCCCUGCAUAGACGUACACAAUCCGAGGUUGAGUAUUUGCACUAAUCUAAACGGAUGAACAUAGUGUCAGUUAUGUCUAUGAUAAUACAUUUGUACUUGCAUAUAGUUUUCAUGGUGGUGUUUCGUUAGCCGGUGCCAGGACUUAUGUAGGUAACUGACAUAUCCGUCCGUGCCAGGAUACGGCCAAAACGGCUGAACCAAUUGAUUUCCAAUUUGAAAUCUACUUUUAGACAGAAUCUGAGAUUUUCAUAUUACUUACAUAAUCAUAUUUAUUAGUAUACAAGCUUAAGUUCUUUUCGGGGAGAAAAUUGGCCACGUGGUUGACCGAAGGUGGGGUUGGUUUGAAAUAUUCGGUCGUAGAAGGCUAAUAUUAGGAAAAUUUGUUAUGUAUUCUACCUUUAUUUUCACAUAUAAUUGCGCACACGUUAUCAUAUACAUACACAUUACACGUAUGAAAAGCUGACUACAAAUGAGUCGUACAUUAAAAAAUCCCUAAUCUUAAUAAAAAACUCGCAAAAACAAUCUACAAGAAUGAAGAAAUUAUUUGUUGUGUUGCAUGUAUGAACUUACUUACGAAAAUUGAUUUAAGUAGGAGAAUGAAAUUAAAUAAGCAUGAAGUGGAGGGGUGUACCAGAUUUACAAACAUUAAGCAAAGUUCAAGAUUUUUAUGCCAUCUUAACGCAACAAUAACGACCGUUUGCAAGACAUCGAUCUCAUAGAGAGUAACACUCAUAUCAUAAGUUUUCGAAGGUAACAGAAGGAAAAUGGCUGACUCGGGCUAUGCAUGUUCAGUCUGGACUUUUGUAACUCGCAAAGGAUUAUACAAUCUAAUCUUAGUUGGCUGUGUAGCGAAUGGACAAGUAUUAUAUAAGUGACAUUUUAGUAUUGUUAAUACCAGAGCUUUUUUCGAGAAUUAAUUUCGGCAUAGCCUCCACAUCAUUUUAUCGACAUUGUUCCGUCUGCCAGUUGGUAUAUUUAACCCUUGUUUUGGAACGACAAAACCUGUGAGAAUACAACAAGAUGUGUGAGUCAAUGUGUGCCUGCUGUUUUCCAUGUUGUUUCGUCAUGAUAAAGCGUGGGUGCGGAUCGGAUUGCUGCAUAAAUUGGCUUCUUGGACUCCUGUGCUGCGUCCCUGCUGUGAUUCACGCAUGUUCAUUCGUGGGGAAAGAAGACCUUCCACCACAGACCGUGGUGAUUUUACAACAGCCACAACCCCAAGCACAUCAAAUAAACGUCAGUCACACCCAACGUUACUAAUCCAAGCUAAUCAGUUUUAUUGGAUCAUCCAAAGAAAUAUGAAGCACAGGAAACAUUUUCAACUAUGCUCAAUUUUGAUCACAAUUUGUAUGAAAAAAUGUUAAGGAUUGGAAUAAAUUAUUUCUGCUUUGCUAA